CCUACGGGAGGCAGCAGUGAGGAAUAUUGGUCAAUGGGCGCGAGCCUGAACCAGCCAAGUCGCGUGAGGGAAGACGGUCCUAUGGAUUGUAAACCUCUUUUGUCGGGGAGCAAAAGACGCCACGCGUGGCGUUCCGAGAGUACCCGACGAAAAAGCAUCGGCUAACUCCGUGCCAGCAGCCGCGGUAAUACGGAGGAUGCGAGCGUUAUCCGGAUUUAUUGGGUUUAAAGGGUGCGCAGGCGGAAGAUCAAGUCAGCGGUAAAAUUGAGAGGCUCAACCUCUUCGAGCCGUUGAAACUGGUGUUCUUGAGUGAGUGAGAAGGAUGCGGAAUGCGUGGUGUAGCGGUGAAAUGCAUAGAUAUCACGCAGAACUCCGAUUGCGAAGGCAGCAUACCGGCGCUCAACUGACGCUCAUGCACGAAAGUGUGGGGAUCGAACAGGAUUAGAUACCCUUGUAGUC
RNAcentral lists this ribosomal RNA (459 nucleotides) under uncultured bacterium. RNAcentral describes it as "partial 16S ribosomal RNA". It matches the Rfam family "Bacterial small subunit ribosomal RNA", at positions 338 to 795 of the family's 1533-position model. The record is from RNAcentral.